GAUGAACGCUAGCGGCAGGCCUAAUACAUGCCAGUCGGACGGGAUUCAGGAGCUUGCUUCUGCUGAGAGUGGCGCACGGGUGCGUAACACGUAUGUAACCUACCUUUAUCAGGGGGAUAGCCUCUCGAAAGAGAGAUUAAGCCCGCAUAAAAUCACAGCACAGCAUUGUGUAAUGAUCAAAUAUUUAUAGGAUAAAGAUGGGCAUGCGGAACAUUAGCUAGAUGGCGGGGUAACGGCCCACCAUGGCGACGAUGUUUAGGGGAUCUGAGAGGAUGGCCCCCCACACGGGUACUGAGACACGGACCAGACUCCUACGGGAGGCAGCAGUAAGGAAUAUUGGGCAAGGGGCGGAAGCCUGAACCAGCCAUGCCGCGUGCAGGAAGACGGCCCUACGGGUGGUAAACUGCUUUUAUACGGGAAUAAACCCAGAUACGUGUAUCUGGCUGAAUGUACUGUAAGAAUAAGGAUCGGCUAACUCCGUG
Molecule: ribosomal RNA, 482 nt
Filed under: uncultured bacterium
Lineage: Bacteria
Description: partial 16S ribosomal RNA
Rfam family: Bacterial small subunit ribosomal RNA
Source: RNAcentral